GGGUGGUGGGGCGAGGGAAGGGCUCCCCAGCCUGCAGAGGCGGAGGGUGCAAUGGAGCCUGUCGGCCGGCGCGUCCCUGCAGCGCUGCGGUCUCCACGACGACUGUGGGCCGCGCAAGGCCCCCGUAGUCCGCUCUCCUAAAGCCUCGGUGAGAGCCGAGCAGCCACAGAGUGUGUGUUCACAAAGGGUCACCACACACACGGAGCUGCCCCUCCCUGUCUCCCUAAACCCCAUCUUCGAGGCCAGGGGCUUUUCUGCCAGGAUUCUGGGGUGUUUCUCCUUUCCUCCCUCCCAGAUCUUCUAACGAAAGCAGCAGCAGGCAGGAUUUGGCCCACAAACCGUUGUUUGCUGAACCCUACUCUCUAGGCCUUUGUUAGACAAACUGGUACACUGUUCAGCUACCAUCAAAACCUGGACUGUGCUAUUCAUGAAGUAUGAUUAGAAGGAGCCAUCAUAUAUCCACUCAUAUACACCACACGCUCAUCGACCUGCUGGACUCUGUAAACCCAACACAAGGUCACGGUCCAGUGUUGAGAAGUUGACUUUGCUAGUGAGGCAAGGGAUCCAUUGAGUUGGCUCAAGCGGGAGAAUAACAUGGACAGAGUUGUAUCCAAAGAUGAUAACUUUAGCAUUCAUGUGGAGGAUGUAUUUGAGAAGAACAGGCGUGGAGCAGGGAGACCAGUUAGAAGAUUACCAUCACAGUCUAGAUGAGCAACAUCAAGGACCUGAGGUAAGAGCAAAGUGGACAGACGUGAAGGGACAGUGGGUGAAUGAGAUUUAGUGACUGUUUAGAUGUGGGGCGUGAACAAGGAAGGGGAUUUAGGAUGACCCGUGGAUCUGACUUCUUAUGUUCUUUGGGUGAUGGUGCCAUUAACUGGCAUAAGGAGGGAAAAGCAAAUUCGGUAUUGGCUCAAUGAAGGCUGGGUUAUCUGUAUCACGUCCAAGUAGAGUCGCCCAAACACACGUGCGGAUGGUUGCAGCAUCACGAUGGGCACACGCACAGCGUACGAGAGCAUUCUUGGGGAGUGACUUCCUAAAACAGGUGGUUCCAGCGGGAUAGGAGUAAGAGCAGGAAGGAAUAGUGGAACGGAUCUUCUCUAGAGCAAGCGAAAAGUGACUAGAGAGCAAAAAAUGGGGGGGAACUGAAGAGAAAACAGGAUCCACGUGAAGAUAAGUUUGGUGUUUCGUGAUGCGGUUUCACAGUGGUGAACUCAACAUGCGGUGACUGUGCCCAAAUAGUGAGCAGACUCUUCACUCUGAGGCCUUCCCUGAACCCGUUUACCUUGGUCGGUUCACUGUGGUCCUGAAGCUCUUCCUCGGGCUCAGAAAUGGGAUUUAUUGUAUUUGUUAUCAUUAUUGUUGGACUGGAAGUGGUUCCAUUUCUCAGCAGUGGCCUCACAUUGACCCAGCACAGCAAGACUGAUUACUCACAUGUAAGCACACGCCUGAACGCGGUGCAUUGACUUGCAGGGGCAACUAUCGUCGGCUGUCUGGCCGACCAGGACCCAGUCCAUGGGAAGCCAAACGCCAGGAGCUUGCUGUGGGAUCAUGGGCUAGUGAUGGGGAUUGUUAGGUGACUCCAGUGUUCUCUAGUGGCAGACCCUGAGUUAUCAUGUUCUCCCUCAACAGGCACGGAUAGACAUUCCAGUUGACCUAACACGCAGGCGUUGCCUACUUCUUACUCUUUGGGUUCCCCUUGCUGGCCCUUCUAGUCACACCUUUUCUCUAAACCAGGCUCAUUGUUUGCUUCUGCUUGCCAAGUGACAAUCACUUUUUAGCCCCGUUUCCCUGGUAUGACUCACAGGUUUUGAUUGGAGUUUGGCGUUAUCCCAAGCUCUUAAGAGUCCCUCAUUUACAGAGUAGGCAAUCGUUUGAUUCCCUCCUGCGGGUUACAUCGAUUGUGUAGUUUUACCCAGGAAAAUCACGAUGACAACUUCCCAGGUCUCACGGGGCGGUCCGCAGUCACCCCCCUGUAAAGAAGAGUUGCAGAGAGCUUAGAUGAGGAGCAUCGGCUUAGAUGUAAAAGUCUUUGAAAAUCUGGCUAAGGAGUGUGUGCCUUGUCCUGUAAAUACUGGGGAGCCCCUGGAGAUGUGGGUUGGGGCAGUGUGGAUGGCUUGAUGAAAUCCACAUUCGGGGGACAUUGAUCUGGGGCUGGGGGUGAAGUGCAUUCACAUAAGGAGAAACCAAACACCAAGAGCCCAGCCAGGAAGCUGAGAUCAUGCACUUGGAUGAAAUAUGCAAGGCUGGAAUUAAAAUGGUGACAAGGUAUGGAAUGGAAAUGCCACGUUGAAUGGUCAUUGCAAAGACAGACGCAACAAGACUUGGUGACCCAAGGGCUAGAGAGAAUACAAAAGAGGAAAACAUUGGUACGCUAUUUUUCUUGAGUUGUAUGAUUGUUCCUGGCAGUGUUUCAGGUACUUAACUGUACUCACUUUAGGUGUAUGUUUAUAAGCACUACGUACGUAAAACUGUGGUUUCAGUGGGAUGAACAGUCUGUCAGAGUCUGGCACUCCCACCCUGAUUUACUUAGGACAUUUAACAGGAUGAGAAUUAUUUUUUUAAAAACUCCAACCUGUAGGCUAAUCUGGAAUAUUUUCCUCUCUCAGAUCUCUUCGGGGGAAAUGUUCCUGAUAGAAGCAGGAAGUUUGGAAGAAUAAGGAAUAGAAUUCUGAGAGGAUAGUGGAGAGGGGAGUGGGGGGGAGAGUCAUUCAGUAAGCUUUUAGUAGUCACCUACUAGAUGCCUAAGGUGGCGUGAGGUGCCGUGGAGGCUACAAAAGCUACAUAGCUGUUCCAUUUUGCAAGAGCUUAACGCCAUCUCUGGAGCCAGAUCCUACUCUAAGAAAUAACCAGAAGCAAGCAACAUAAAAGAGUGUAUAACUGAGCCGCUAAGCCGUGCGUACAGAUUAACGGUAUUUACGUACAGAUGAGUGAUGGGCCUCUGGAAGCCAUAGCAGAGAAAACAGCAAGGUUAGGAGGACAAAAAAAUCAUAGCUUGAAAGGAAUAGGCAAACUGGGACUGGUAAGUUUAGUUAACAGAUUCCAGAAGGAUUUAUCCUCUCUAUGUUGUUCCCCCCGGAGGUUUAUUCUUUGCAGAACACUUUUAUGUGUAUUAAUCUCAUUGUAGCCUUGACACAAUCCAGCAAGGGAGGCAAGGUAGGGAUUAUAAGGGGAAGGGUGGGGGGAGGAUUUGGGAGAGAUUUAUGCUGUAGAAACAGCAGGAUUUUAUGACCAAUUAAUCUUCUGGUUGAGGGUGAAGGACGAGCUGAGGAUGACCCGCCCCCACUCACUCAUUCACUCAUUAAAUCACUUGUUCAAGUACUUCUUGAGGGUCUAUUGUGUGUCUGCUCUAUGCUCCAGCGCUGGGUUUCCAGAUUCCUGGCUGGGACGAUCAGCUGGAUGAGAGUGCCUUUGCCUGCCGCAGGCAGCAGUGGAGGGAGGAUGCCUGAUGCUGACUGUCCUUCAGGUUUCCACCCUGUGAAUUCGGGCCGCCCGUGGGACACCCAGGCGAAAUUGGCAAGUAGGUAAUGUGACAGAACAGUUUGGCUUUUUCAGGAAAGAAGUCUGGGACAUGAAAUAGGUUUGGAAAUCGUUAGCCUGGAGGUGAGCGUUAAGACUGAGAACGGGUUAGGUGACCUAGGGAGAUCUUGGUUAAGACAUUUAACAAUUCUGCGUUUUCGGUUUCCUUCUGUGGGAGAUGGAGAAGAUAUCUUAUAGCACAGGAUUGUCUUUGAUCGGAUGAAUGUGAAUGGGCCUGGGAAACAGCAACGUAUUAUAGAUAUUGAAAAUGCUAUUACUGAGGGGCGCCUGGGUGGCUCAGUCGGUUAAGCGACCGACUUCGGCUCAGGUCAUGAUCUCACGGUCCGUGAGUU
Long non-coding RNA from Felis catus (domestic cat), 3869 nucleotides. RefSeq lists it as uncharacterized. Lineage: Eukaryota; Metazoa; Chordata; Mammalia; Carnivora; Felidae. The transcript is spliced from 4 exons. The record is from RefSeq and is a predicted model, not a curated record.